This 230-nucleotide unclassified non-coding RNA is filed under the name plant metagenome. RNAcentral describes it as "partial contains small subunit ribosomal RNA, internal transcribed spacer 1, and 5.8S ribosomal RNA". The record is from RNAcentral.
UCUCCGUAGGUGAACCUGCGGAGGGAUCAUUACAGAGUUCUCGCCCACGCGGGUAAAUAUUCCACCCACCGUUAUCGUUACUGUCGUUUCUUUGUCGGCCCGCCGGGUCCCCGACCGCCGGCGUCUAAUAGGCGGCGCCCGCCCGCCAGGGGCCUUCGAACCCUGAAUGUUAGUGUCGUCUGAGUUCUAUAUAAUAGUUAAAACUUUCAACAACGGAUCUCUUGGUUCUG